GGGCUACAGAGAAGCUUUGGCGCAGGACCCCAUGGCAGAGAAUUGGCUGCACCUUCUUGUGCACCUUCCUAGGGGCUGCCUUUCCUUUUUUGCUAAUGUUUGAUUAUUUUCAAUGAUUUUAGAUUAAAAAGUAAUUUUUUUCAAUUAGGAGUUGCACUUCUUAAUUAUGGAGAUGAAUUAGAUAGCUAUUCAUUAUUAAUUAGAUUUUAACUCCGCACUGAUAGUCCCUUUUAUCCAACCCUAUCUGCUUUCUGCCCAUCCCGCCUGCCUCUGCCCCAAAGCUGCCCCAGCCCUGCAGCAUCCCUUGGCUUUUACAACUGUUUAGAAAAUACACAUCAAUGUUAUCAUCCCGGAGGCUGUCUGGUUCUUUCAAGGGUAAAAAUCCCGACCACAGAUGGUGUCAUUUCAUGGGCUUAAAAACAUUAAUUGAAAGCAUUAAUAUCCUGCCUCCCUCCAUCGGCAGCUGGGGCAGAAACCGUGCCCGAAUUGCGUGCUGAGCUCAAACGAUGACCCUGCUUUUCCCCGCCAGCAGAAGGAACCCGUUCCCUUGUCCCUGCCACCUUCUCUCCGCCACAAGUGGCAAUUUUGUCAUUUGUGUGUGACAGAGAGGGUUUGACCUGCCUCUGCUGUUUCUUGGACUUUGUUUGUUUCUGCUAUUUUUAAAGAAAGCUGUCGGCUUUCUUUUGAGCUGCUUUCUUUGCCAUCUGUCACCUUUCAGACAUUAAUCAAUGCUCAGAGUUUUCUCACUAUUGCUCAUUGUUGUCUCUGUUUCUCUCUUCUACCAUCCUGUCCCUGGGGAAGCUCUCCUGUCUGGUUUCCUGAGAACCCCAAAGCAUGGUCUUUACACUUAGUUAUAAAUAUUUUAUGUAUUUCUUUAAUUUUCACUUGUUCCAAGGUGGGUUUGGAAGUGGUCUUAGGCAUCUCUCUGCAUAUUUGAAGAGAAAACCAAACAGUGGGGACCAGGAAGGUGUCUUCAUCCCUGAAAAGCCCACGUUAUUCCCCCCUCCAGUCGCUCUUCUCUGUGCCACAGGCGUGAGCACCUCGUGUCCCAGAGCCCUUUGGCUGCAGCAAAAUGUCGACGAUCCUGAAAUGGUUUGGACGGGAAGAUAA
RNAcentral lists this long non-coding RNA (1110 nucleotides) under Anser brachyrhynchus (Pink-footed goose). Its description in RNAcentral is "lncRNA (ENSABRG00000017171.1)". The record is from RNAcentral. Lineage: Eukaryota; Metazoa; Chordata; Aves; Anseriformes; Anatidae.